RNAcentral lists this ribosomal RNA (941 nucleotides) under uncultured bacterium. Its description in RNAcentral is "bacterial SSU rRNA". It matches the Rfam family "Bacterial small subunit ribosomal RNA", at positions 8 to 916 of the family's 1533-position model. The record is from RNAcentral.
AGAGUUUGAUCCUGGCUCAGGACGAACGCUGGCGGCGUGCCUAAUACAUGCAAGUCGAACGAAGCUUUCUUUCACCGAAUGCUUGCAUUCACCGAAAGAGGCUUAGUGGCGAACGGGUGAGUAACACGUAGGCAACCUGCCCAAAAGAGGGGGAUAACACUUGGAAACAGGUGCUAAUACCGCAUAACCAUGAACACCGCAUGAUGUUCAUGUAAAAGACGGCUUUUGCUGUCGCUUUUGGAUGGGCCUGCGGCGUAUUAACUUGUUGGUGGGGUAACGGCCUACCAAGGUGAUGAUACGUAGCCGAACUGAGAGGUUGAUCGGCCACAUUGGGACUGAGACACGGCCCAAACUCCUACGGGAGGCAGCAGUAGGGAAUCUUCCACAAUGGACGAAAGUCUGAUGGAGCAACGCCGCGUGAAUGAAGAAGGCCUUCGGGUCGUAAAAUUCUGUUGUCAGAGAAGAACGUGCGUGAGAGUAACUGUUCACGUAUUGACGGUAUCUGACCAGAAAGCCACGGCUAACUACGUGCCAGCAGCCGCGGUAAUACGUAGGUGGCGAGCGUUGUCCGGAUUUAUUGGGCGUAAAGGGAACGCAGGCGGUCUUUUAAGUCUGAUGUGAAAGCCUUCGGCUUAACCGAAGUAGUGCAUUGGAAACUGGAAGACUUGAGUGCAGAAGAGGAGAGUGGAACUCCAUGUGUAGCGGUGAAAUGCGUAGAUAUAUGGAAGAACACCAGUGGCGAAAGCGGCUCUCUGGUCUGUAACUGACGCUGAGGUUCGAAAGCGUGGGUAGCAAACAGGAUUAGAUACCCUGGUAGUCCACGCCGUAAACGAUGAGUGCUAAGUGUUGGAGGGUUUCCGCCCUUCAGUGCUGCAGCUAACGCAUUAAGCACUCCGCCUGGGGAGUACGGUCGCAAGACUGAAACUCAAAGGAAUUGACGG